This 491-nucleotide ribosomal RNA is filed under the name uncultured bacterium. Its description in RNAcentral is "partial 16S ribosomal RNA". It matches the Rfam family "Bacterial small subunit ribosomal RNA", at positions 29 to 506 of the family's 1533-position model. The record is from RNAcentral.
AGUGAACGCUGGCGGUAGGCCUAACACAUGCAAGUCGAACGGCAGCACAGUAAGAGCUUGCUCUUACGGGUGGCGAGUGGCGGACGGGUGAGGAAUACAUCGGAAUCUACUUUUUCGUGGGGGAUAACGUAGGGAAACUUACGCUAAUACCGCAUACGACCUACGGGUGAAAGCAGGGGAUCUUCGGACCUUGCGCGAUUGAAUGAGCCGAUGUCGGAUUGGCUAGUUGGCGGGGUAAAGGCCCACCAAGGCGACGAUCCGUAGCUGGUCUGAGAGGAUGAUCAGCGACACUGGAACUGAGACACGGUCCAGAAACCGACGGGAGGCAGCAGGGGGGAAUAUUGGACAAUGGGCGAAAGCCUGAACCAGCCAUACCGCGUGGGUGAAGAAGGCCUGCGGGUUGUAAAGCCCUUUUGUUGGGAAAGAAAAGCAGCAGGUUAAUACCCCGCUGUUCUGACGGUACCCAAAGAAUAAGCACCGGCGAACUUCGU